AGCGAACGCUGGCGGCGUGCUUAACACAUGCAAGUCAAACGGGCCCGGGGGGCAACUCCUGGGCCAGUGGCGAACGGGUGAGUAACACGUGGGUAAUCUUCCCCCGAGUGAGGAAUAAGCUUGCGAAAGCGGGUCUAAUACCGCAUGACGCUUCGAGGCACAAGCCUUCGAAGUCAAAGCCGUAAGGCGCUUGGGGAUGAGCCUGCGUCCUAUUAGCUAGUUGGUAGGGUAAUGGCCUACCAAGGCGAUGAUGGGUAGCCGGCCUGAGAGGGUGAUCGGCCACACUGGAACUGAGACACGGUCCAGACUCCUACGGGAGGCAGCAGUGAGGAAUUUUGCGCAAUGGGCGAAAGCCUGACGCAGCGACGCCGCGUGGAGGAAGACGGCCUUCGGGUUGUAAACUCCUGUCAGAGGUGAAGAAUGCCCGCAAGGGCUUGACGGUAACCUCCAGAGGAAGCCCCGGCUAACUACGUGCCAGCAGCCGCGGUAAAGUCACGUCG
This 500-nucleotide ribosomal RNA is filed under the name uncultured bacterium. Its description in RNAcentral is "bacterial SSU rRNA". It matches the Rfam family "Bacterial small subunit ribosomal RNA", at positions 29 to 530 of the family's 1533-position model. The record is from RNAcentral.